Molecule: transfer RNA, 117 nt
Filed under: bacterium
Lineage: Bacteria
Also listed under: 2 other names
Description: tRNA-OTHER
Source: RNAcentral
GCGGUCAUCGUCUAGUUUGGUUAGGACACUGGCCUUCCACUCCAAUUGAUGGAGAAGAAAGCCCGCAACCCGGGACUCUAGUUAAUUAGAGCGGGAAUUCAAAUCCCGGUGACCGCA